RNAcentral lists this ribosomal RNA (442 nucleotides) under uncultured microorganism. RNAcentral's name for it is "bacterial SSU rRNA". It matches the Rfam family "Bacterial small subunit ribosomal RNA", at positions 346 to 777 of the family's 1533-position model. The record is from RNAcentral.
GUGCAGCAGGCGAGAAUAGUCUACAAUGGACGAAAGUCUGAUAGUGCGACGCCGUGUGUGCGAUUAAUUCCUUCGGGAUGUAAAGCACUUUUCUAUGAGAUAAAAGCUCUUUAGGUUAAUAGCUUAUUGAGACGGAUAUUAUUAUAGGAAUAAGCUCCGGCUAACUCCGUGCCAGCAGCCGCGGUAAUACGGAAGGAGCGAGCGUUGUCCGGAUUUACUAGGCGUAAAGGGCUAGUAGGCGACUAAUUAAGUUAUAUGUUAAAUCCCACGGCUCAACUGUGGUCCUGCAUGUAAUACUGGUUAGAUAGAGUACUGUAGAGGAAGGCAGAAUUCCUGGAGUAGCGGUGGAAUGCGCAGAUAUCAGGAAGAAUACCGAAAAGCGAAGGCAGCCUUCUGGGCAGUUACUGACGCUGAAUAGCGAAGGUGUGGGUAGCGAACAGGA